GCUACCCAAUGGGUGGCCCAGAUGUUCAACACGGGACACUUACUUUUAUGUGUAAACAGGUCUCAAACAAAGCUCGGACUAAUGCUUCAUAUUCUUCUUGGACUUCUUUUCUAAUCUGCUUCUUGAGAUUCAGAUUCACUUCUUCCAAGUCUAAAAGAAAAAUGGAAACGACCUAAAAUGCCUAACAAUGGAAAUGAGUUGAAUCCAUCUGGCUCAUAGACAUGACGAAAUACUGAAUGGCCACCAUAAAUGGACAUAUGUUUAUUGAUGAGGAAAGAUCUUUAUAACAUAUUGUCAAGUGAACAAAAAAGCAUGCUAUAAAAAAAGGUCAUGCAGAAUAAUCUUAUUUUGUAAAAAAAAAAAAAGUGUGUAUUAGUCC
RNAcentral lists this long non-coding RNA (379 nucleotides) under Homo sapiens (human). RNAcentral describes it as "HSALNT0336135". The record is from RNAcentral. Lineage: Eukaryota; Metazoa; Chordata; Mammalia; Primates; Hominidae.